This 499-nucleotide ribosomal RNA is filed under the name uncultured Glomus. RNAcentral describes it as "SSU rRNA". It matches the Rfam family "Eukaryotic small subunit ribosomal RNA", at positions 569 to 1073 of the family's 1831-position model. Lineage: Eukaryota; Fungi; Glomeromycota; Glomeromycetes; Glomerales; Glomeraceae. The record is from RNAcentral.
AGCAGCCGCGGUAAUUCCAGCUCCAAUAGCGUAUAUUAAAGUUGUUGCAGUUAAAAAGCUCGUAAUUGAAUUUCGGGGUUAGUAGGUUGGUCAUGCCCCUGGUAUGUACUGGUCUCACUGAUUCCUCCUUCCUGAUGAACCUUAAUGCCAUUAAUUUGGUGUUUUGGGGAAUUUGGACUGUUACUUUGAAAAAUUAGAGUGUUUAAAGCAAGCUAACGCUUGAAUACAUUAGCAUGGAAUAAUGAAAUAGGACGUUCGAUCCUAUUUUGUUGGUUUCUAGGAUUGACGUAAUGAUUAAUAGGGAUAGUUGGGGGCAUUAGUAUUCAAUUGUCAGAGGUGAAAUUCUUGGAUUUAUUGAAGACUAACUACUGCGAAAGCAUUUGCCAAGGAUGUUUUCAUUAAUCAAGAACGAAAGUUAGGGGAUCGAAGACGAUCAGAUACCGUCGUAGUCUUAACCAUAAACUAUGCCGACUAGGGAUCGAAUGAUGUUAAUUUUUAA